Molecule: long non-coding RNA, 997 nt
Organism: Pangasianodon hypophthalmus (striped catfish)
Lineage: Eukaryota; Metazoa; Chordata; Actinopteri; Siluriformes; Pangasiidae
Exons: 3
Source: RefSeq, a predicted model, not a curated record
GUAACUACUUUAUCCUCGGCAGGAUCAUGGUAAAUCUGUAGUGAAUACAAGGAACACUGGGUGUGAGAUGUCUACUGAACAUUUAUGGAAGGAGUCUCCAGGGUUGGUGCUUUAACUGUCAAGAGAUCGAGAAAGAGAGAGAGAUCGAGAGAGAGAGAGAGAGAGAGAGAGAGACAAAGACUUGCUGUGAAGGAUCGACUGUAACAGCUGCUAUAACGUAAGUAAUAACAGGAGCUAACUUGUCUUGUGGAUGUUUCACACCAUUAAAUGUAACUAUAAAUUAUUAAAAAUCAUGAUGUAUCGUUCAUUAAUAAUUAAAAAAAUUAACUGUUGGCAAAUUGCUGUGGUAUAAGAAGAAUAGAACACUGGGAUAUGCUGUUAUAGGAAAACAAUCCACUUCAGGGUGGUAAUGUUCCUCAGCUUCUCACCAUCACAGAGUUUUAUCACCAUUGUCAUUGUGGUGAGGUUUUCUGUAAGGACACGUUUAUUAAACAUUUAUGGAAGGAGUCUCCAAGACCAGCACUUUGUAACAGUCAGUAACUGUUCUGCAACCAGUUUCUCUCUAAUAUGACAAGCUGCAUUUUUUGUCUUAUUAACUUCAACAAAGAAAAAAAAGAGAGGCAGAUGAGUGAACUGUUAAUAGUUAACUGUUAAUAGCUGCUAUAAAAUAAGUGACUACAGGAAGGAACUUGUCCCACAGAUGUUCCACAGCAAUAAGUAUAACUAUAAACGAUUUCUUUAGUGAAUAACAAAAAUGUAACUGUUACAUUUAAUACAUUUAACAAAAAUGUAACUGUUAAUAUAAUCGACUUUACGGUAGUAACAGUAACUCUGCUUCAUGUCAGUCCAUCAAACCACCCCGUUAUUGAUUAUUUUCCUAACAGCACACCCCAUCAUCUUUUACUCCUUACUUAUAACUCUGUAACACAAGCUACUUUUACUUUUUCAUAAAGCCUGCAUAAUGAGCAUAAGAAUAAUAUACCUCUCAUAGAUGUCA